This is a long non-coding RNA of Suricata suricatta (meerkat), 502 nucleotides long. RefSeq lists it as uncharacterized. NCBI's taxonomy places the organism in Eukaryota, Metazoa, Chordata, Mammalia, Carnivora, Herpestidae. The record is from RefSeq and is a predicted model, not a curated record. The transcript has 2 exons.
UUAAAGCUUGCUAAAUCUCUAGCUGAAUCUCAGGGACAGAAAUGUCAAGGAGGGUAGACAGAUGAAUACGUUCAAAUGGAAACAGACCAGGUCUCAGCUUCUCUGGUUGGAAGAAAAGCAAAAUACAGAGCAAAACAAACAAAUGAAAAAACACCUCAGGAAGCAAACAAACACACAAACAAACAUAAAGAUCCAAGCCAAUCUAUGAUCUGUAAAAUAAGCGAGGUGCAGAAUUGCAACAGGGACUCUAGGCAUCUUCAGCUGAAUGUAAGAAGUCCAACUAACCUAAGGCUGCCAUGUGGAGAGACCCCUUGGAGGGACACACAGAGAAAGAGAGAGAGACCUGAGCAGCCAGGUGUGCCAGCCCCCAGCUGAGCCUUCUCAGCCUACAUGCCAGGAAUAGGAUGAUGAACAUUCCAAGAAGCUCACUGGACAGCAGCCACCUGAGAGAUGCACGCCCUCAGACUCCUGAACCAAAUAAAUGAUUUUUUUACUGUUUUAA